UACGGAGGGUGCAAACGUUGCUCGGAAUCAUUGGGCGUAAAGCGCGCGUAGGCGGCUUGACAAGUUGGAUGUGAAAGCCCUGGGCUCAACCCAGGAUGUGCAUUCAAAACUGUCUGGCUUGAAUCUCGGAGGGGGUCAGGGAAUUCCCGGUGUAGAGGUGAAAUUCGUAGAUAUCGGGAGGAACACCAGUGGCGAAGGCGCUGACCUGGACGAUGAUUGACGCUGAGGCGCGAAAGCUAGGGGAGCAAACAGG
This 253-nucleotide ribosomal RNA is filed under the name uncultured bacterium. RNAcentral describes it as "partial 16S ribosomal RNA". It matches the Rfam family "Bacterial small subunit ribosomal RNA", at positions 524 to 776 of the family's 1533-position model. The record is from RNAcentral.